UGUGACUACAUAACUUCUAUUUUCUAUGAUUUUAAUUGUGUUUAUACAUGUGCAGAUGUAAAAGAACGAAAUAAAUCAGAUUAACCUGUAUACAUGCAGGAAGACAUUAGAGUAUUGGCGAGAAAUCCAGGUGUGUUCAUCACAUUUCUCAAUCAG
This is a long non-coding RNA of Sphaeramia orbicularis (orbiculate cardinalfish), 156 nucleotides long. RefSeq lists it as uncharacterized. NCBI's taxonomy places the organism in Eukaryota, Metazoa, Chordata, Actinopteri, Kurtiformes, Apogonidae. The record is from RefSeq and is a predicted model, not a curated record. The transcript has 3 exons.